Molecule: ribosomal RNA, 603 nt
Filed under: Triticum aestivum (bread wheat)
Lineage: Eukaryota; Viridiplantae; Streptophyta; Magnoliopsida; Poales; Poaceae
Description: partial small subunit ribosomal RNA
Source: RNAcentral
AUGCAGUUCUGGAGCUUGGAGGGGGCGGACGACGCGUUCGGCGACUUCGGCCGCAUCGACCGGCUCGACAGCCGCACGUACGAGCGUGGCCACACCAAGACAUUCGCAUGCUGGCUGUGGGCCUGGGACGUGGCGCACAUCCCGACUAAGAGGGCUCUGUGGGUGCUCAAGCGUGGUGCUGGCCGCGUCGACGAGAUCAUCGGCUUCUCCCCACCGGAUCGCAACGUUCCUCCCCCGCCGGGCGUCCACCGCUACGACCUGCUGAUCCAUGUGGACCGCGUGGAGGAUUGGAAUCCGCUCUCGCCCCGCUCCUCACACUUGGGACAGAGCGGGCUCCCCUCCUCGGAAGACGAAGACACCCGCCCCCUCCCCCGCUCGGAGCCGGGCACCUGGGCGUCUGGUAUGGAGGACGGGCAAAGCAGGGCCAGGCGCUCUGUGCCUCGCGUGUCCUCCUCCGGCUGCAGCAGCUUCCCAUCCCUCGGAGAGCGCCGCGACCACGACGGCGACGAACAGGGCAACCGCGGCCGGUCCUGGAAGGACGCGUUCCUCGGCCGUGGCCGGCAGUCCAGCGCCAAGGCCCCGGCCACGGAGGCGCCGCGCUGA